AUGCACAUGAUUAGAGGGAAGAGUCAAGCGUCAGUCCAGUCAUUCAGGGAAGCUGUUAAGUUCAAGAGGAAUAGUUGGCAAGUUUGGGAAAAUUACAGUAAGGUUGCUUUGGACACAGGCAAUAUUCGACUGACACUUGAAGCUAUCAAAAUGGUAUUAAAUUUGUCCGUCAACAAGUGCUUCAAUGUUGAUUUACUGGACAAGGUGAUGACCACCCUUGAAGAACAAGCUACUCAUCUUAAUGACACUCAAGAAGCUAAAUCCAUAGGCAACACUUCAGAUGAUUCAAAUAAAGAGACCAGGCAAUCAAGUCAAUUAUUAGAUAUAAUUGGUGAUAUCCUUGAGCAGAUUGUACAAAAUGGGGCUAGCGUUCCGGAGAUAUGUGGAUUAUGUGCUAGAUACCAUAAGAGCAAGGGUGACCUCAAGAAAUGUUCUAAAGCUUUGCUCAAUCAAGUUCAAUAUCUAAAGGGUUCAGAAUUAUGUCAUGACCAUAAGAAGUUCAAAAAGUUUGCUCAAGCUUCUUUGCAGCUUUGCAAGUUCUACAUGGAAAUUUCAUCCACGACAGGAAGGAAACAAGAAUUAUUGUUAGCUGAGAUGCAUCUUAAAAGCUCCUUGAAAGAGGCCAUGGACUUCGUAGGUUCAGAGGAGUAUCAAGAACUUGCUGACUGA
RNAcentral lists this ribosomal RNA (669 nucleotides) under Triticum aestivum (bread wheat). RNAcentral's name for it is "partial small subunit ribosomal RNA". The record is from RNAcentral. Lineage: Eukaryota; Viridiplantae; Streptophyta; Magnoliopsida; Poales; Poaceae.